GAUGAACGCUAGCGGCAGGCCUAAUACAUGCAAGUCGAACGGUAGAUCGGGUAGCAAUACUUGAUUGAGAGUGACGUAAGGGUGCGUAACACGUAUGCAAUCUACCCUCAACAGGAGUAUAGCUCGGGGAAACUCGGAUUAACACUCCAUAACAUUACGAUGUGGCAUCACAUUGUGAUUAAAACUCCGGUGGUUGAGGAUGAGCAUGCGUCUGAUUAGUUAGUUGGAGGUGUAACGGACCCCCAAGACGAUGAUCAGUAGGGGAACGUGAGAGGUUGAUCCCCCACACUGGCACUGAGAUAC
This 303-nucleotide ribosomal RNA is filed under the name uncultured bacterium. RNAcentral's name for it is "bacterial SSU rRNA". It matches the Rfam family "Bacterial small subunit ribosomal RNA", at positions 28 to 327 of the family's 1533-position model. The record is from RNAcentral.